This 129-nucleotide small nucleolar RNA is filed under the name Salarias fasciatus (jewelled blenny). The record is from RNAcentral. Lineage: Eukaryota; Metazoa; Chordata; Actinopteri; Blenniiformes; Blenniidae.
CUGCACAAUUCAUUGUCCGGCUCUUUACUUUUAAGAGUUGUGAUAUUUCUGUUGUGCUAGAUAAAAAAUGGAGGUAAAUUAGCAGAGUGGCUACCUGGUGCCACCUCUGCCAGUCCCCUUCACACAGAU